GCCGGGUCUGCGCUCUGGGACGCCAUGAGGGAAUAGUCCCUCUGUCCCCACGCCACGAGGGGAUCGUCUCGUCAUCCCCACGCCAUGAAGUGAUCAUUCCUCCAUCCUCAAGCCAUGAGAGAAUCAUCUCGUCAGCCCCGGGCCAUGAGAGGAUCGUCCCUCUAUCCCCUUGCUAUAAGGGAAUUAUCCCCAUGCCACGAGGGGAUAUCAUCCAUGAGGGCCUUGUCCCGACAUACCCACAGCCUGGUCCUCCUGCCCUCUGUGUCCCUGGCACCCUCAGACCCUUCAUUAUGACCAGAGCCAUCAAAAGAAUGGGGUAAAUCCCUUAAAAGUCCUCUCAACACUCUACACAGAAAAAAUAUGGGACUCUGAGGGCAAGUCAGAAUGCCCACCUCAGGUGGCGCUUGCCCAUGCCAGCCAUUCCCUCACCAUUCCUCAAACCAGGCCUGUGGGACAGAGCUGCAACUGACAAAGGACUCAGAAUCAGCUCUUGGCACGAAGCAAAGCACAAAUCUGAACUUAGAUGUGUCUGGGACAGAACAACACUUUUCUUUGUUUCGGGUGAGAUUUCAGCGUGCCAGUUGUACCACUACAGGCAGAAAACUGCACAGACCUCUCUGACCCCAGCAGCUCCAAGCAUGGCAAAGACAGAGAAAAUAAGAGGGAACUUGGGCCAUCAGAGAGGAAAGCGCUGCCCUCCGGUUGUGGUUUGCUGCCUGUGUACCCACAGAGAGGCAUCUGCAGCCAGAGAGGUUUUCCACUAGAUUGAAAGAGCUUGGAAAUGCUCCAUCCUGUUUGGAAAAGGACCUCGGGGUUUGUGCCAUG
This 825-nucleotide long non-coding RNA is filed under the name Zonotrichia albicollis (white-throated sparrow). RNAcentral describes it as "lncRNA (ENSZALG00000008901.1)". The record is from RNAcentral. Lineage: Eukaryota; Metazoa; Chordata; Aves; Passeriformes; Passerellidae.